CCCGCCUACGGGGGGCAGCAGUGAGGAAUAUUGGUCAAUGGCCGGAAGGCUGAACCAGCCAAGCCGCGUGAAGGACGAAGGUGCCAAGCAUUGUAAACUUCUUUUGUCAAGGGACAAAAUCAGGCUCGAGAGCCUGACCGAGGGUACUUGAAGAAAAAGCAUCGGCUAACUCCGUGCCAGCAGCCGCGGUAAUACGGAGGAUGCGAGCGUUAUCCGGAUUUACUGGGUGUAAAGGGAGUGUAGGCGGGAAAGCAAGUCAGAAGUGAAAACUAUGGGCUUAACCCAUAGCCUGCUUUUGAAACUGU
Molecule: ribosomal RNA, 305 nt
Filed under: uncultured bacterium
Lineage: Bacteria
Description: bacterial SSU rRNA
Rfam family: Bacterial small subunit ribosomal RNA
Source: RNAcentral